AACGGUCUAUACCUGCGGUACCUGCGGAAGGAUCAUUACAGAGUUACUACUCCAAACCCAUUGUGAACCUUACCUAUGUUCUGUUGCCUCGGCGGCGUGGUCAGCGCCCCUCUGAAAAGAGGACGAUGCCCUCCCGCCGGCAGCACCAAACUCUUUGAAUUUUACAGCGGAUUACAGUUCUGAUUUGAAAACAAAAAAACAAGUUAAAACUUUUAACAAUGGAUCUCUAGAUCGGAAGAG
This 240-nucleotide unclassified non-coding RNA is filed under the name soil metagenome. RNAcentral's name for it is "partial contains 5.8S ribosomal RNA, internal transcribed spacer 2, and large subunit ribosomal RNA". The record is from RNAcentral.